GGUCCAAUACUAAAGGAAGUAGAGAAUUGUAGGGAUACUAUAUCAUAUAUAUACUACUCUAUUGGUGGGGGCGUGGGGUUAUUGAUCCCUUCAUUUCUCUUAUUUCCCUUUCUCUUAGAUUUUUCCUUUCCUUCAACUUCAAAUACCACCCCACCCUACCAGGCAAACCCUAUCGCCUACCUAGUUAGUUUUUAACCUUUGCCCUCUUUCUUUCACUCUCUCUCAGUUCCUAACCUCACCAUUUUCAUCAUAUAUAUAAUUUCCAUCUGCAAGAAUUCUUUGUGUUGAAUUGAUGCAUAAUACAGAAUACUGCAUAUUUUAUGUUAAUUAUAUGCUUUAUAUUAAUUAGUGGGUUGUUUAUAUUUUAUGUUGUAUGCCUGGCUCCCUGUAUGCCAUUCGCAGAGCCCAUCGAAUAAUCGAUGACCUCCAUGGAUGGCGUAUGAGGAGCCAAGCAUACCCCUUUUUUUACAUUUCACUUGUUUACUUUAUAUUUUUUUGUUAUCUAUUUAAUCUUGAGUAUUAUUAAUGUCUGAUCAUGUUUUAUUUUACUCAAGACUUUUCUUUCUUUCUUUUAAUUAUGUUACAGAUAAUUACACAUUUUAAAGGCAAUAUAUAUCUUUGUCGUGAAUAAAUCCUUAAGCAUAUUGGUUUAAAGGUAACUAGCUCUUCUUUUCCAUCAACAGGUUGAAGAAUAUAAUAUAAAGAGAAAGCGAGGAGAAGAUUUUGGUGUAUUGAGCUGCUUAACUUGCUCAACUAUAUAUAAUUUAACAAGAAAACACAUUUCAUCUUUCAUGCGGCAAGAGACAACAUAGAAGUUACAACUUAUUAACACUUUACAGGCUAAUGCAGCGCAUGCUUUGUCUCUCAUAGGGAAUCUGAUAUAUAUACUUCGAUAUGGAAUGUACAAUAUUUUAGGACUCUUAAAGAAGUUGUGAAAGUGCCCAUGUGAUUAGACACCGCAAGUCAAAAAUGAAAAGUUACAUCAACUAUUUCAUAUGUAUACACUGUAUACGUUUAAUAUUAAGAAGAUGGUUGCAGUUAAAAAUAUCAUGGAAGAAGUAUCUUCUCCAUUUAUCCCCUGGUCAUUAAAUAUCAUUUGUAACUAAACUAAAUUACAACAUACCAACAUUUCCCAAUA
This is a long non-coding RNA of Beta vulgaris subsp. vulgaris (sugar beet), 1138 nucleotides long. RefSeq lists it as uncharacterized. The transcript has 2 exons. NCBI's taxonomy places the organism in Eukaryota, Viridiplantae, Streptophyta, Magnoliopsida, Caryophyllales, Amaranthaceae. The record is from RefSeq and is a predicted model, not a curated record.